UCUAAUAAGCAGUCACAACAAAGAUUAAUAACUGAAGAUGCUAUUUCAAUUAAAUUUAUUUAUGUUUUUGUCGCCUGUUCUAAGACCUCAUCUACACUACAAAGUUUACUGAUAAAACUUGUCUUCUGUUGGCACAGCCUUGCAUAUGUCCACACCCAUUUUUAAGACCUACUGACAAAACUGACCUGCUGAUGAAUCUAAUUGCCCCUGUCAUGUUCUUUAAAAUCAGUCUUUUUUCCUCUUCCCAGCUGCCUUCUCCCCCCGCCCCCUCCGCAUUUCCCCCAUGGUCUUGCAGAUUUAUGUAAAACACAACAUGCAACAGUAACAAGAACAUUUGGCUUUCUGAGAUCCAGGCUGUUCAUAAGACACCUCUGUUGACCCUUUAAUCUGCCAAACAUGUGCUCCACUGUGAUCUUGCAUGUACUUAGGUGGUAAUUAAAUCUUUCCUUGUUCCUUUCUAGCUGCCAGGUGUAUGGUUUCAUGAGUCAGGGAAGCAAAGGCUGGGCUAGGCAUCUGAGAAACACAGUUUUCACACUGGUGGGGCUUCAAUGCGUAUGCCAGUCUGUGCUGUCAUCUUUUCAAAAAGACCUGUAGUCUUAAAGUUGCAAGUAUCAUGCACCUUCCCUGAGCACCCAUCAUUAGAGUAAUUGAAACAUGACUGGUGACACACCCACACUUGCAUAACUAUGGGAAAAUAUUCUUUUCUCUUUAUGUACUCAGAGACAAAGUUUUUGGAGUAAGGGAGAAUUCCCUGCACAUUGCCCAGAAUCAGUCCUGUGCAUCAGGACACACUUAAUGAAUUUGGAUUAUCACCUGUGGAUGGUUUAAUGGACUGUGAAGUGAUUUUGAUGGCCUCGGGCCAUUUCCCAGUAGACACAUCUCACCAAAGAAACCAAAUGGUGGCUGUUGAAGUUGUGGUGGAAAUGUGUGAGGGAGUUAGGUUAUCUGUCCAGAGAAUGAAAGUGUCAUCAAUGUAUAUCAUAGGUUUUAUAGUGCAUUUUCUCAGAAAUUCUUGCUUGAGGUGUCCCAUGAACCAUACUGAGGAACCAUCCCAGUACCUGUGACUGUUCCCGUGGUUUGGACAAACUGUGUGGUGUUAAAUGUAAAAUUGUUGUGGGGGAGAAUGAAAUGGAUUAGUUUGGCGACAUCUUUGAGGUGCAUAUCUGAAUAUUGUCCAUUGUCUUUAGGCAGACUUUGAUGCUAUCAUAGUGAGGAUUUUGGUAUAUAGGAAAGGGCCAUACAUGAUGGGAAGGAAUGUGUUCUGAGGGAAAUUGUUAAUAUUGUGGAGUUUCUGGAGGAAGUAGAUUGUGUCCUGGAGGAAACUGGCCCUUUGUGUGAUCUGAAGAAGAGCUCUGUGAAGCUCAAAAGCUUGUCUCUUCCACCAGCAGAAGUUGGUCGGAUUAAAAAAUUACCUCACCUACCUUGUCUCUUAAAUAUACAGCAUCAGCCAGCAUAAGCCGUCUCUAAAAACUACAGAUGAAACGAAGAGACAUGCAGCUACCUUUUUCAGAACUGGUCUCAGAUUUUCAGUGUCCUGCUUGAGAAGUCUUUUUCAGAGGUCUGAACAAGCUGUGGCUCUCAUUUAAGUCAAUAUAAACAGCAAAAUAAGGAAAAUUUGUCAUCUUUCUGUUGUAAUGAAAGCUGCUUAGCUGAAGAUAUUUUGGUAAAAUGCAUAUAGCUUUCAUUUUUAAAAAGUUAUUUUUGAUAGCCCCUUCUACAAUGGUGAGACAACUUUUGCCAUUUUUAAGAAUCAGUCAAUUUAAAAACAAUCUUAUGAGUUUCCUAAUACGGAAAUCCAUGGAUUUUUAAGCCAUUAGUGGGUUCUGGUGUUCUUUAUCAACAUAUAUGCAUGUCUUUUUAGAAGAGUCUUUCCAAAGAGAUCGCAUUGAUAAAUACACAAGGGAGGUUGCUACUAAAUUCUUGUAAUUAUUGCUAAAUAAUAAAAUUUAAUCAAAUGAGGAAGUGAA
Molecule: long non-coding RNA, 1967 nt
Organism: Gopherus flavomarginatus (Mexican gopher tortoise)
Lineage: Eukaryota; Metazoa; Chordata; Testudines; Testudinidae
Exons: 2
Source: RefSeq, a predicted model, not a curated record